AAUAGAUACCCCGGUAGUCCAUGCCGUAAACGUUGGGCACUAGGUGUGGGGGACAUUCCACGUUUUCCGCGCCGUAGCUAACGCAUUAAGUGCCCCGCCUGGGGAGUACGGCCGCAAGGCUAAAACUCAAAGGAAUUGACGGGGGCCCGCACAAGCGGCGGAGCAUGCGGAUUAAUUCGAUGCAACGCGAAGAACCUUACCAAGGCUUGACAUGGACCGGACCGGGCUGGAAACAGUCUUUCCCCUUUUGGGGCCGGCUUACAGGUGGUGCAUGGUUGUCGUCAGCUCGUGUCGUGAGAUGUUGGGUUAAGUCCCGCAACGAGCGCAACCCUCGUUCUAUGUUGCCAGCACGUGAUGGUGGGGACUCAUAGGAGACUGCCGGGGUCAACUCGGAGGAAGGUGGGGACGACGUCAAAUCAUCAUGCCCCUUAUGUCUUGGGCUUCACGCAUGCUACAAUGGCCGGUACAAAGGGUUGCGAUACUGUGAGGUGGAGCUAAUCCCAAAAAGCCGGUCUCAGUUCGGAUUGGGGUCUGCAACUCGACCCAUG
RNAcentral lists this ribosomal RNA (548 nucleotides) under uncultured bacterium. RNAcentral describes it as "bacterial SSU rRNA". It matches the Rfam family "Bacterial small subunit ribosomal RNA", at positions 777 to 1322 of the family's 1533-position model. The record is from RNAcentral.